GUAAUUACCAAGGAGGCUGUAGAAGCCUGGGUAGAAGAAAGGAGAAGGGUUUGGGUUUUCCCUCCACUUCUAGGGGUCAAGGUGAGGUAGGUGGGCAGUGGCUGGAUGUGGCCCCUCACCUGUGCUUCGUUAAAGCCUGAGCAGGGCAUAGAGUGGCUGCAGCUGCUUUCCUCCUCUGCCUGCGUAUGGGAUGAGAAAUGAAAACCAGUACUUCUGUUUCUGGCUGCUUGACUCCCCAUUUCCAUAGCUUUGGCUUGUAGCAGGCUUGUGGUUGCCACGAUCAUGAAGACUUGCUGACGAGCUGGUUGGGUCCAUCCCGCACAGGCAGAAAGCCCUUGGUUGACGUCCCUUUGCCACCUGCAUGCUCUGGGAUAGAGGAUGAUCCCUACACUGGGUUAUUAUACAACAUCAACUGCUGCAAAAAUGCUAAAACUAAAUCGUGGAGAAAGAGUAAGGUAACAGAGCUCCAAAGCUGCUAAUCUCAACGGAGAAAGUAGAAAAUCUUGUUAUUAUUACACUUCUCCAACUCCAGAUCCCAGUGAGCCACGUCUAGGUGAGGAUCAAUGGAACAGAUCAUUGGCAAUUUCCGACACAGCGACAUCUCACCCCGUGCUGCUGCCCAGCGCUGCACCAGCUCCAAGCUUGCUGUUUCCCUGAAAAUAUCAGUUGCAAACGGGGUCUCCUCCUCCUGAGAAAAUCAGUACUUAUCGACCAGGGACUGUUUUCAAACAGCUGUAAAAUGCAGAAUGUCCCUGUCACUCCGCAACGUCUCAGCUGAUGGUUCAUCAUUACAGCAUGUAACUACUUGGCUCCUGCAGAUGCAAAAUGUGCAACUUGAGGCAUUGAUGGCAUCUCACUAUUACAUAGAAAAAUGAAUGUCUGUCUCAAUCUAGCUUAGUUUAAAAAAAAAAAAACAACACCUCAGCAGAAGAUGGUACGGUGUAUAGAUGCAUGUAUUUGCAAGUGUUAGCUUUGAAAAAGGAAGAAAAACGUGGGGCAGUGCUGUGCACCAUGGGCCAGCAGGGAUGGAAACGGAUUAGGUUUGCGCAGUGAGCUUGUGUGGUUGGAGGGAUGCUGAGUGAAAUAAAUAGGGCUCUGCCAUGGAUGAAGGCAAUUAGGACAGCCCAACUCAUGGCCCUAGUGCUGACGGGCUCUGUCAGGCUCCAAGCUGGGGUUGCUGUUCUCUAUAGGAGGCUGGUGUACCAGCAGCAUUUGGUAACCAAGGGACAAAAUAGCAAAAGCACUCUUGCAGUUCCUGUAUUUCCUCUCCCUCUCCUUUCUCUGACACAAUUCACCUGUUGUGGGAAGGGGAUGGUGAAUUUGAAUGUUCCCAGUGAGCUUGGGUCCUUGGGUCCACUGUUACCCCAAUGCUCCACCUCCACCUAAUGCUCUCCUUCACUGUCUCCUAAGUGAAGGUGACUUAGGAGAAUGGUAACUGAAAUAACAGUUCUGCCUUAUACAGACCUGGUUUAUGUUCUCAG
RNAcentral lists this long non-coding RNA (1481 nucleotides) under Gallus gallus (chicken). Its description in RNAcentral is "lncRNA (ENSGALG00010029113.1)". The record is from RNAcentral. Lineage: Eukaryota; Metazoa; Chordata; Aves; Galliformes; Phasianidae.